Long non-coding RNA from Protopterus annectens (West African lungfish), 212 nucleotides. RefSeq lists it as uncharacterized. Lineage: Eukaryota; Metazoa; Chordata; Ceratodontiformes; Protopteridae. The transcript is spliced from 3 exons. The record is from RefSeq and is a predicted model, not a curated record.
AAGAAAUCUUUGACUGUUUGCAUAGAUUUAGUUUUAUCCUCCAUUUUCUUUAACACCUCUUCUGCCUUAACACCAAACAAGGUAUCAUGCUGUAAAGGAGUAUCCAAUAACGUUGCCUUAACAUGAUCAAGUAAACUCUGUUCUUUUAACCAAGCAUGUCUUCGAAUAACAGAACCUGUAAAGUACAGUUUUGUACCUACCAUAAAUGUAGA